Molecule: transfer RNA, 73 nt
Filed under: Anaerolineaceae bacterium
Lineage: Bacteria; Bacillati; Chloroflexota; Anaerolineae; Anaerolineales; Anaerolineaceae
Also listed under: 1 other name
Description: tRNA-Arg
Rfam family: tRNA
About the family: Transfer RNA (tRNA) molecules are approximately 80 nucleotides in length. Their secondary structure includes four short double-helical elements and three loops (D, anti-codon, and T loops).
Source: RNAcentral
GCCUCUGUAGCUCAAUGGAUAGAGCGCCGGACUUCUAAUCCGUCGGUUGUGGGUUCGAGUCCCACCAGGGGCG